AUCCAGCUGAUGAGUCCAAACUAGAACGAAACGCGUGUUCUGGAU
Schistosoma rodhaini is the source of this 45-nucleotide non-coding RNA. The record is from Rfam. NCBI's taxonomy places the organism in Eukaryota, Metazoa, Platyhelminthes, Trematoda, Strigeidida, Schistosomatidae.